ACGAACUCCUACGGGAGGCAGCAGUGAGGAAUAUUGGUCAAUGGACGAGAGUCUGAACCAGCCAAGUAGCGUGCAGGAUGACGGCCCUAUGGGUUGUAAACUGCUUUUAUAAGGGAAUAAAGUGAGUCUCGUGAGACUUUUUGCAUGUACCUUAUGAAUAAGGACCGGCUAAUUCCGUGC
Molecule: ribosomal RNA, 180 nt
Filed under: uncultured bacterium
Lineage: Bacteria
Description: partial 16S ribosomal RNA
Rfam family: Bacterial small subunit ribosomal RNA
Source: RNAcentral